Molecule: ribosomal RNA, 468 nt
Filed under: uncultured bacterium
Lineage: Bacteria
Description: partial 16S ribosomal RNA
Rfam family: Bacterial small subunit ribosomal RNA
Source: RNAcentral
GACGAACGCUGGCGGCGUGCUUAACACAUGCAAGUCGAACGGAAAGGCCCUGCUUUUGUGGGGUGCUCGAGUGGCGAACGGGUGAGUAACACGUGAGUAACCUGCCCUUGACUUUGGGAUAACUUCAGGAAACUGGGGCUAAUACCGGAUAGGAGCUCCUGCUGCAUGGUGGGGGUUGGAAAGUUUCGGCGGUUGGGGAUGGACUCGCGGCUUAUCAGCUUGUUGGUGGGGUAGUGGCUUACCAAGGCUUUGACGGGUAGCCGGCCUGAGAGGGUGACCGGCCACAUUGGGACUGAGACACGGCCCAGACUCCUACGGGAGGCAGCAGUGGGGAAUAUUGCACAAUGGGCGGAAGCCUGAUGCAGCAACGCCGCGUGCGGGAUGACGGCCUUCGGGUUGUAAACCGCUUUCGCCUGUGACGAAGCGUGAGUGACGGUAAUGGGUAAAGAAGCACCGGCUAACUACGUG